This 429-nucleotide ribosomal RNA is filed under the name uncultured bacterium. RNAcentral describes it as "bacterial SSU rRNA". It matches the Rfam family "Bacterial small subunit ribosomal RNA", at positions 349 to 793 of the family's 1533-position model. The record is from RNAcentral.
CAGCAGUGGGGAAUAUUGGACAAUGGGCGAAAGCCUGAUCCAGCCAUGCCGCGUGAGUGAAGAAGGCCUUAGGGGUUGUAAAACUCUUUCAAACUGUGAGGAUGAUGACAGUAGCAGUAGAAGAAGCACCGGCUAACUUCGUGCCAGCAGCCGCGGUAAUACGAAGGGUGCGAGCGUUGUUCGGAAUUACUGGGCGUAAAGGGCGUGUAGGCGGAUUGGCAAGAUAGAGGUGAAAGGCCUGGGCUCAACCUGGGAACUGCCUUUAUAACUUCCAGUCUAGAGAUCGAGAGAGGAUAGCGGAAUUCCUAGUGUAGAGGUGAAAUUCGUAGAUAUUAGGAAGAACACCAGUGGCGAAGGCGGCUAUCUGGCUCGAUACUGACGCUGAGGCGCGAAAGCGUGGGGAGCAAACAGGAUUAGAUACCCUGGUAG